GGUUUGAUGGACUCAGGAUUGAACGCUGGCGGGAUGCUUUACACGUUGGCAAGUCAGGCGGGCGGCACGGACUUCCGGUCUGGUGGCGAGUGGCGAACGGGUGAGUAAUGUAUCGGAACGUGCCUAGUAGCGGGGGAUAGCUACGCGAAAGCGUAGCUAAUACCGCAUACGCCCUUCCCGAGGAAAGCAGGGACCGGGCCUCGCACUAUUAGAGCAGCCGAUAUCGGAUUAGCUAGUUGGUGGGGUAACGGCUCACCAAGGCGACGAUCCGUAGCUAGUUUAGAGGACGACCAGCCACUGGGACUGAGACACGAGCCCAGACUCAGCUACGGGAGGCAGCGGUGGGGAAUUUUGGACAAUGGAAACCUGAUCCCAUGCAUCCCGCGUGUGCGAUGAAGGCCUUCGGGUUGUAAAGCACUUUUGGCAGGAAAGAAACGGCGCAGGAUAAUGCCCCGUGCUGACAGUACCUGCAGAAUAAGCACCGGCUAACUACGUGCCAGCAGCCCGCGGCAGCGGGUGCAAGCGUUGAAUCGGAAUUACUGGGCGUAAAGCGUGCGCGGGCGGUUCGGAAAGAAGAUGUGAAAUCCCAGGCUUAACUUUGGAACUGCAUUUUUAACUACCGAGCUAGAGAAGUGUGUCAGAGGAGGUGGAAUUCCGCGUGUAGCAGUGAUGUGGAUGGACUUACCGAUGGCGAAGGCAGCCUCCUGGGAUAGCUGACGCUCAUGCGAAAGCGUGGGGCAGAGCAGGAUUAGAUACCCUGGUAGUCCACGCCCUAAACGAUGUCAACUAGCUGUUGGGGCCCUUCGGGCCUUGGUAGCGCAGCUAACGCGUGAAGUUGACCGCCUGGGGAGAUGCGGUCGCAAGAUUAAAGCCAAAGGAAUUGACGGGGACCGCACAAGCGGUGGAUGAUGUGGAUUAAUUCGAUUUAACGCGAAAAACCUUACAUUAUGACAUAUGUUGGAAUCCCGAGAUUUGGGAGUGCUCCUGGGAGAACCGGAACACAGGUGCUACAUGGCUGUCGUCAGCUCGUGUCGUGAGAUGUUGGGUUAAGUCCCGCAACGAGCGCAACCCGCUGUCAUUAGAUUGCUACGAAAGGGCACUCUAAUGGGGCUACCGGUAGAUGCAAAACCGGAGGAAGAGUGGGGAUGACGUCAAGUCCUCAUGGCCUUAUGGGUAGGGCUUCACACGUCAUACAAUGGUCGGGACAGAGGUCAUCAACCCGCGAGAGGAUGAAUGUGGACGAUCAUGGUCCGGAUCUGAUCUUCGUGAAAGCGACUUGCUGAGAAGUCGAAUCGCUAGUAAUCGCCAGCGGAUCAACAUGUCGCAGAUGAUCGUUCCGGGUCUUGUACACCGCCCGUCACCAUGGGAGUGGGUUUUACCAGAAGUGGUUAGCCUAACCGUAAGGGCGAUUACCACGGUAGGAUUCAUGACUGGGGUGAAGUCGUAACAAGGUAA
This 1455-nucleotide ribosomal RNA is filed under the name uncultured Bordetella sp. RNAcentral describes it as "partial 16S-23S ribosomal RNA intergenic spacer". It matches the Rfam family "Bacterial small subunit ribosomal RNA". Lineage: Bacteria; Pseudomonadati; Pseudomonadota; Betaproteobacteria; Burkholderiales; Alcaligenaceae. The record is from RNAcentral.